UGACCCAUGGGGGGAUCGAACCCACGAUCUUCGCAAGCAUAUCACGACGCCUAACCAACUGAGCCAAUGGUCC
Non-coding RNA from Araneus ventricosus, 73 nucleotides. NCBI's taxonomy places the organism in Eukaryota, Metazoa, Arthropoda, Arachnida, Araneae, Araneidae. The record is from the annotation of a GenBank genome assembly.